ACGCACGCUGGCGGCGUGCUUCACACAUGCCAGUCGCACGGAAAGGCCCUGCUUGCAGGGUACUCGAGUGGCGAACGGGUGAGUAACACGUGGGUGAUCUGCCCUGCACUUCGGGAUAAGCCUGGGAAACUGGGUCUAAUACCGGAUAGGAGCCAUUUUUAGUGUGAUGGUUGGAAAGUUUUUUCGGUGUAGGAUGAGCUCGCGGCCUAUCAGCUUGUUGGUGGGGUAAUGGCCUACCAAGGCGGCGACGGGUAGCCGGCCUGAGAGGGUGGACGGCCACAUUGGGACUGAGAUACGGCCCAGACUCCUACGGGAGGCAGCAGUGGGGAAUAUUGCACAAUGGGCGCAAGCCUGAUGCAGCGACGCCGCGUGGGGGAUGACGGCCUUCGGGUUGUAAACUCCUUUCGCUAGGGACGAAGCUUUUUGUGACGGUACCUAGAGAAGAAGCACCGGCUAACUACGUG
RNAcentral lists this ribosomal RNA (464 nucleotides) under uncultured bacterium. RNAcentral's name for it is "partial 16S ribosomal RNA". It matches the Rfam family "Bacterial small subunit ribosomal RNA", at positions 29 to 507 of the family's 1533-position model. The record is from RNAcentral.